RNAcentral lists this ribosomal RNA (455 nucleotides) under uncultured bacterium. RNAcentral describes it as "bacterial SSU rRNA". It matches the Rfam family "Bacterial small subunit ribosomal RNA", at positions 340 to 786 of the family's 1533-position model. The record is from RNAcentral.
UACGGGAGGCAGCAGUGGGGAAUAUUGCACAAUGGGCGAAAGCCUGAUGCAGCUAUGCCGCGUGUAUGAAGAAGGCCUUAGGGUUGUAAAGUACUUUCAUCGGGGAGGAAAAACAAAACUAAUAAUUUUAUUUCUUGACGUUACCCGAAAAAGAAGCACCGGCUAACUCCGUGCCAGCAGCCGCGGUAAUACGGAGGGUGCUAGCGUUAAUCAGAAUUACUGGGCGUAAAGAGCACGUAGGUGGUUUUUUUAAGUCAGAUGUGAAGUCCCUGGGCUUAACCUAGGAACUGCAUUUUGAAACUGAAAUACUAGAGUAUCGUAGAGGGAGGUAGAAUUCUAGGUGUAGCGGUGAAAUGCGUAGAUAUCUGGAGGAAUACCUGUGGCGAAAGCGGCCUCCUAAACGAAUACUGACACUGAGGUGCGAAAGCGUGGGGAGCAAACAGGGAUUAGAUACC